GCAAAACGCGAAGAACCUUACCAGGGCUUGACAUGCUCCUGCAGAGCCGUGAAAGCGGUUGGCCUUCGAGGGUGGAGCACAGGUGCUGCAUGGCUGUCGUCAGCUCGUGUCGUGAGAUGUUGGGUUAAGUCCCGCAACGAGCGCAACCCCCGCGGCUAGUUGCCGAUGUUUCUAGCCAGACUGCCGGUAGCAAGCCGGAGGAAGGUGGGGAUGAUGUCAAGUCAGCAUGGCCCUUACGUCCUGGGCUACACGCACGCUACAAUGGCCGGUACAGAGCGCAGCGGAGCCAAAAGGCCGAGCGAACCGCAGAAAGCCGGUCACAGUACAGACUGGGGUCUGCAACUCGACCCCGUGAAGUCGGAGUCGCUAGUAAUCGCAGAUCAGCAACGCUGCGGUGAAUACGUUCCCGGGUCUUGUACACACCG
Molecule: ribosomal RNA, 425 nt
Filed under: uncultured bacterium
Lineage: Bacteria
Description: bacterial SSU rRNA
Rfam family: Bacterial small subunit ribosomal RNA
Source: RNAcentral